GUUGUAUGGUUAAGUGACUAAGCGUACACGGUGGAUGCCUUGGCAGUCAGAGGCGAUGAAAGACGUAGUAACUUGCGAUAAGCCCAGAUUAGGUAGUAACAACCAUUUGAGUCUGGGAUUUCUGAAUGGGGAAACCCACGUGCAUAAGCACGUAUCCUUACCUGAAUACAUAGGGUAAGGAGGCGAACCGGGGGAACUGAAACAUCUAAGUACCCCGAGGAAAAGAAAUCAACCGAGAUUCCGAAAGUAGCGGCGAGCGAAAUUGGACUAGCCCUUAAGCUUUACACGCGUUAGACGAACGGUCUGGAAAGUCCGACGAUACAGGGUGAUAGUCCCGUAGUUGACGACGUGUGUUCAGUGAAAUCGAGUAGGGCGGGACACGUGAUAUCCUGUCUGAAUAUGGGGGGACCAUCCUCCAAGGCUAAAUACUACUGACUGACCGAUAGUGAACCAGUACCGUGAGGGAAAGGCGAAAAGAACCCCUGUGAGGGGAGUGAAAUAGAACCUGAAACCGUGUACGUACAAGCAGUAGGAGCAGGCUUUGUCCUGUGACUGCGUACCUUUUGUAUAAUGGGUCAGCGACUUAUAUUCAGUGGCAAGGUUAACCAUCUAGGGGAGCCGUAGGGAAACCGAGUCUUAACUGGGCGUUCAGUCUCUGGAUAUAGACCCGAAACCAGGUGAUCUAGCCAUGGGCAGGUUGAAGGUUGAGUAACAUCAACUGGAGGACCGAACCGACUAAUGUUGAAAAAUUAGCGGAUGACUUGUGGCUAGGGGUGAAAGGCCAAUCAAACCUGGAGAUAGCUGGUUCUCCCCGAAAGCUAUUUAGGUAGCGCCUCGGACGAAUACUACUGGGGGUAGAGCACUGUUAAGGCUAGGGGGUCAUCCCGACUUACCAACCCUUUGCAAACUCCGAAUACCAGUAAGUACUAUCCGGGAGACACACGGCGGGUGCUAACGUCCGUCGUGGAGAGGGAAACAACCCAGACCGCCAGCUAAGGUCCCAAAUUACUACUAAGUGGGAAACGAUGUGGGAAGGCUCAGACAGCCAGGAUGUUGGCUUAGAAGCAGCCAUCAUUUAAAGAAAGCGUAAUAGCUCACUGGUCGAGUCGGCCUGCGCGGAAGAUGUAACGGGGCUAAGUAGUAAACCGAAGCUGCGGCAAUAUACUUUUGUAUAUUGGGUAGGGGAGCGUUCUGUAAGCGGUUGAAGGUGUGUGGUAACGCAUGCUGGACGUAUCAGAAGUGCGAAUGCUGACAUGAGUAACGAUAAAGGGGGUGAAAAACCUCCUCGCCGGAAGACCAAGGGUUCCUGUCCAACGUUAAUCGGGGCAGGGUAAGUCGACCCCUAAGGCGAGGCCGAAAGGCGUAGUCGAUGGGAAACGGGUUAAUAUUCCCGUACUUCUUACAAUUGCGAUGGGGGGACGGAGAAGGCUAGGUGGGCCUGGCGACGGUUGUCCAGGUUCAAGUGCGUAGGCUUAAGAGUUAGGUAAAUCCGGCUCUUUUUAAGGCUGAGACACGACGUCGAGCACCUACGGGUGUGAAGUCAUUGAUGCCAUGCUUCCAGGAAAAGCCUCUAAGCUUCAGAUUGUAAGGAAUCGUACCCCAAACCGACACAGGUGGUCGGGUAGAGAAUACCAAGGCGCUUGAGAGAACUCGGGUGAAGGAACUAGGCAAAAUGGUACCGUAACUUCGGGAGAAGGUACGCUCUUGAUGGUGAAGUCCCUUGCGGAUGGAGCUGACGAGAGUCGCAGAUACCAGGUGGCUGCAACUGUUUAUUAAAAACACAGCACUGUGCAAAAUCGUAAGAUGACGUAUACGGUGUGACGCCUGCCCGGUGCCGGAAGGUUAAUUGAUGGGGUUAGACUUCGGUCGAAGCUCUUGAUCGAAGCCCCGGUAAACGGCGGCCGUAACUAUAACGGUCCUAAGGUAGCGAAAUUCCUUGUCGGGUAAGUUCCGACCUGCACGAAUGGCGUAAUGAUGGCCACGCUGUCUCCACCCGAGACUCAGUGAAAUUGAAAUCGCUGUGAAGAUGCAGUGUACCCGCGGCUAGACGGAAAGACCCCGUGAACCUUUACUACAGCUUGGCACUGAACAUUGACCCUACAUGUGUAGGAUAGGUGGGAGGCUUUGAAGCACGUACGCCAGUAUGUGUGGAGCCGUCCUUGAAAUACCACCCUUGUAGUGUUGAUGUUCUAACGUUGACCCCUUAUCGGGGUUGCGGACAGUGCCUGGUGGGUAGUUUGACUGGGGCGGUCUCCUCCCAAAGAGUAACGGAGGAGCACGAAGGUGGGCUAAUCACGGUUGGACAUCGUGAGGUUAGUGCAAUGGCAUAAGCCCGCUUGACUGCGAGAAUGACAAUUCGAGCAGGUGCGAAAGCAGGUCAUAGUGAUCCGGUGGUUCUGAAUGGAAGGGCCAUCGCUCAACGGAUAAAAGGUACUCCGGGGAUAACAGGCUGAUACCGCCCAAGAGUUCAUAUCGACGGCGGUGUUUGGCACCUCGAUGUCGGCUCAUCACAUCCUGGGGCUGAAGUCGGUCCCAAGGGUAUGGCUGUUCGCCAUUUAAAGUGGUACGCGAGCUGGGUUUAGAACGUCGUGAGACAGUUCGGUCCCUAUCUGCCGUGGGCGUUGGAAGAUUGAAGGGGGCUGCUCCUAGUACGAGAGGACCGGAGUGGACGAACCUCUGGUGUUCGGGUUGUGUCGCCAGACGCAUUGCCCGGUAGCUAAGUUCGGAAUCGAUAACCGCUGAAAGCAUCUAAGCGGGAAGCGAGCCCUGAGAUGAGUCUUCCCUGAUACUUUAAGUAUCCUAAAGGGUUGUCGGAGACUACGACGUUGAUAGGUCAGGUGUGUAAGUGCUGUGAGGCAUUGAGCUAACUGAUACUAAUUGCCCGUGAGGCUUAACCAUACAACACCCAAGGGGUUU
This 2916-nucleotide ribosomal RNA is filed under the name Vibrio parahaemolyticus. Its description in RNAcentral is "bacterial LSU rRNA". It matches the Rfam family "Bacterial large subunit ribosomal RNA". The record is from RNAcentral. Lineage: Bacteria; Pseudomonadati; Pseudomonadota; Gammaproteobacteria; Vibrionales; Vibrionaceae.